CCCCAGAGCCCCCAGGGUGGGCAAACCCAGCGCCCCAGGUAGACCAUUUGGCUGUGGUGAGCCUCUCGGAGAGGGAAGCAGCCGGGGGCCCCUCGUGCUGUGACGGGGAAGCCCACGUCCCAGACCAUCUGUCAUCAGGUCGUUUUGCUUCACUGUGUUCCUGACAUGAAGCUCUAAAGCAAAGAGCUUCCCAAUGAGGAGAGAGAAGGUUCUCGAGUCCUGCACAUGUCUUUUCCAGUAGUCAUGAGAGCUGGACCAUAAAGAAAGCUGAGUGCCGAAGAAUUGAUGCUUUUGAACUGUGGUGUUGGAUAAGACUCUUGAAAGUCCCUUGGACUGCAAGGAAAUCCAACCAGUCCAUCCUAAAGGAGAUCAGUCUUGGGUAUUCAUUGGAAGAACUGAUGCUGAGGCUGAAACUCCAAUACUUUGGCCACCUGAUGUGAAGAACUAACUCAUCUAAGAAGACCUUGGUGCUGGGAAAGAUUGAAGGUGGGAAGAGAAGAAGACGACAGAGGAUGAGAUGGCUGGAUGGCAUCACCGACUCAAUGGACGGUCUUCCAAGAUGAAGAGGUGCCUCAUCUUGGAGGUGGCCCCAAGGCGUGAUGCACAAGAAAUGGGAUAGCCCAUGGCUGGGGGAGCUCCAGGAUCCUGAGCCAUCUGUUUGCCCUUCCUCAGGAAGAUGGGCAUCAUUCUGUAGCAGUUUGCUCAUAGGACUCAGAACGCAAAGAGGGCAAUGCCAGUGUCUGCUGCUUUCAUCUGUGGUGACACACCAGCCAACAGGAGACCACAGGGAAAGCAAUCAGACAUUCCCAUCUGCCAGGAACUCCACGAUGGGAAAGCAGCCACCACAGCGGUCAUUCCACAAAGGACCACCUGGUGGCACCAUUGUACAAC
This is a long non-coding RNA of Bos taurus (domestic cattle), 891 nucleotides long. Lineage: Eukaryota; Metazoa; Chordata; Mammalia; Artiodactyla; Bovidae. The record is from Ensembl.